This 86-nucleotide non-coding RNA is filed under the name Algibacter lectus. The record is from RNAcentral. Lineage: Bacteria; Pseudomonadati; Bacteroidota; Flavobacteriia; Flavobacteriales; Flavobacteriaceae.
UUGCGUUAGGGAUUGAACGGCCUGUUUGAAAUCCUUUUUAUUUUCAUUAAAAAUAAAAAGAUUGAGUAGUGAAAGCCCGACCCUUG